Molecule: ribosomal RNA, 599 nt
Filed under: Salmonella enterica
Lineage: Bacteria; Pseudomonadati; Pseudomonadota; Gammaproteobacteria; Enterobacterales; Enterobacteriaceae
Description: partial 23S ribosomal RNA
Rfam family: Bacterial large subunit ribosomal RNA
Source: RNAcentral
GUCCGUCGUGAAGAGGGAAACAACCCAGACCGCCAGCUAAGGUCCCAAAGUCAUGGUUAAGUGGGAAACGAUGUGGGAAGGCCCAGACAGCCAGGAUGUUGGCUUAGAAGCAGCCAUCAUUUAAAGAAAGCGUAAUAGCUCACUGGUCGAGUCGGCCUGCGCGGAAGAUGUAACGGGGCUAAACCAUGCACCGAAGCUGCGGCAGCGAACGUAUCACUUAAAGCGAUUCAGCGGAUGACGAUUGACGGAGCGAAGCGACGUCAAAGCGUAUACAAAGUCGAGUCGGUUUAAGGAUACGUUCGUUGGGUAGGGGAGCGUUCUGUAAGCCUGUGAAGGUGUGUCGUGAGGCAUGCUGGAGGUAUCAGAAGUGCGAAUGCUGACAUAAGUAACGAUAAAGCGGGUGAAAAGCCCGCUCGCCGGAAGACCAAGGGUUCCUGUCCAACGUUAAUCGGGGCAGGGUGAGUCGACCCCUAAGGCGAGGCCGAAAGGCGUAGUCGAUGGGAAACGGGUUAAUAUUCCCGUACUUGGUGUUACUGCGAAGGGGGGACGGAGAAGGCUAUGUUGGCCGGGCGACGGUUGUCCCGGUUUAAGCGUGUAGG